CCUACGGGAGGCAGCAGUGGGGAAUAUUGCACAAUGGGGGAAACCCUGAUGCAGCGACGCAGCGUGAAGGAAGAAGUAUUUCGGUAUGUAAACUUCUAUCAGCAGGGAAGAAAAUGACGGUACCUGACUAAGAAGCCACGGAUAACUACGUGCCAGCAGCCGCGGUAAUACGUAGGGGGCAAGCGUUAUCCGGAUUUACUGGGUGUAAAGGGAGCGUAGGGGGCGAUGCAAGUCAGAAGUGAAAGCCCGGGGCUCAACCCCGGGAUUGCUUUGGAAACUGUGUUGCUAGAUUGCAGGAGAGGCAGGUGGAAUUCCUAGUGUAGCGGUGAAAUGCGUAGAUAUGAGGAGGAACACUGGUGGCGAAGGCAGCUUACUGGACUGUAAAUGACGCUGAGGCUCGAAAGCGUGGGGAGCGAACAGGAUUAGAUACCCCAGUAGUC
RNAcentral lists this ribosomal RNA (440 nucleotides) under uncultured bacterium. RNAcentral describes it as "partial 16S ribosomal RNA". It matches the Rfam family "Bacterial small subunit ribosomal RNA", at positions 338 to 795 of the family's 1533-position model. The record is from RNAcentral.